CUUGGUUUCAAGAGAAAUGCAUUGAAAGAGAGAAAUGAAACUACCAAGGUCUAAUACAUGUAACUUCUACUUUCUGAUGUUUUCUAAUGUUUUCUAAUUUAUGAUGCAUGUAUUUUUUUUAUUCGGAAAAUAAUGCUGGGUUCUUUUUACACCGUUACACAGUCAUGGAGUAAAGACGUGUUGAAAUGUACAUCGUAGCCAGACAAAUACAGAAACACAAUGCUUACGAACUGCAUCUCCGAAAUACUGUCACAUGUGUAUUUUAUUUGCAUCUUGGAACAUAUUGUACAAUAAGCUAUAACGUUUUUACCAGGCUAUCCAUUUAUCCCGUUCGCGAAUCACAACACACAUAUAACUUUGAUACGCUCGGGGGAAUGUAUACUGCAAACUUUCACCCAAUGACCUUUUGCUAAGCCCCCGUUUUGGGAAACCAGUUGCAGUGCUCCAGUGGAUAGCAGCUGUCUUCCAGUCCGACACGUUGGACAAGCUCACGUUUAAAACGCAUGAGAGCUAAUGAAGGCUGUGGCAAAAACUGCGUUUUCUUCAAAAAAAAAAUCUUAGACUAGUCUGAGUCAUAAUUGUUGAUGGCAGAGGCUAAGAAAGACAGUAAAGGGACUUUCAAGGGACUUCAAGGAUUCAAUAACGUUUUUUUCAGGACAAGCAGCCAACGAGUUCUCACGGCGUGACGUGGAUGCAUCGGAGAAAAAGACGUGCAAGGGAAUAAACGCCCGUUUCAAGGAACCAACCUGUGUCUUGUCGUGAAGAGAGCUACAUGCCCCUUGUCAUUGUACAUCUGAAGCAGAGAAUAGCUGAACUCACAAAUCAUCUCCAUAUUGUUGAGAUAGCUAUAUGUUCUCAAUUGUAAAUGCCAAGAGUGUGCAAAUCUGUCAUCAAGGCAAAUGGUGGCUACUUUGAAGAAUCUCAAAUAUAAAAUAUAUUUAGAUUUGUUUAACACUUUGAUUACUACAUGAUUCCAUACGUGUUAUUUCAUAGUUUGUCUUCACUAUUAUUCUACAAUGUAGAAAAAUAGUAAAAAUAAAGAAAAAAAACUUGAAUGAGUAUGUGUGUCCAAACUCUUGACUGGUACUGUGUAUAUAUACAUAUAUAUACACCCACACACACAGUGGCAAGAAAAAGUAUGUGAACCCUUUUGGAAUUACCUGGAUUUCUGCAUAAAUUGGUCAUAAAAUUUGACCUGAUCUUCAUCUAAGUCACAACAAUAGACAAGCAGUCUGCUUAAACUAAUAACACACAAUGUGUUUUCAUGUCUUUAUUGAACACACCGUGUAAACAUUCACUGUAGGGUGGAAAAAGUAUGUGAACCCUUGGAUUUAAUAACUGGUUGACCCUCCUUUGGCAGCAAUAACCUCAACCAAAUGUUUUCUGUAGUUGCGGAUCAGACAUGCACAGCGGUCAGGAGGAAUUUUGGACCAUUCAUCUUUACAGAACUGUUUCAGUUCAGCAAUAUUCUUAGGAUGUCUGGUGUGAAUUGCUCGAGGUCAUACCACAGCAUUUUAAAUUGGGAUGAGGUCAGGACUCUGACUGGGCCUCUCCAGAAGGUGUAUUUUCUUCUGUUGAAGCCAUUCUGUUGUUGAUUUACUUCUGUGUUUUGGGUCGUGGUCCUGUUGCAUCACCCAACUUCUGUUGAGCUUCAAUUGGCGGACAGAUAGCCUUACCUUCUCCUACAAAAUGUCUUGAUAAACUUGGGAAUUCAUUUUCCGUCCAUGAUAGCAAGCUGUCCAGGCCCUGAGGCAGCAAAGCAGCCCCAAACCAAAAUGCUCCCUCCACCAUACUUUACAGUUGGGAUUAGCAUGUUCCAGAGAUUUCUGUAAGUCUUUAGCUGACACUCUAGGAAUCUUCUUAACCUCAUUGAGCAUUCUGCACUGUGCUCUUGCAGUCAUCUUUGCUGGACGGCCACUCCUAGGGAGAGUAGCAACAGUGCUGAACUUUCUCCAUUUAUAGACAAUUUGUCUUACUGCAGACUGACGAACAUCAAGGUUUUUAGAGAUACUUUUGUAACCCUUUCCAGCUUUAUAUAAGUUAACAAUUAUUAGGUCUUCUGCGCUCUCUUUUGUUUGAGGCAUGGUUCACAUCAGGCAAUGCUUCUUGUGAAUAGAAAACUCCA
Molecule: long non-coding RNA, 2125 nt
Filed under: Salmo salar (Atlantic salmon)
Lineage: Eukaryota; Metazoa; Chordata; Actinopteri; Salmoniformes; Salmonidae
Description: lncRNA (ENSSSAG00000091753.1)
Source: RNAcentral